Molecule: unclassified non-coding RNA, 3454 nt
Filed under: Hevea brasiliensis (rubber tree)
Lineage: Eukaryota; Viridiplantae; Streptophyta; Magnoliopsida; Malpighiales; Euphorbiaceae
Source: RNAcentral
AAAGAUAACUGCCAGACCAACCAAGUUCAUGUCUUUGACACUGCCAUGCAGACUUGGAGCCAACCAGAGAUAAAAGGCACACCGCCCACUCCAAGGGACAGCCACAGUUGUACUACUGUUGGUGACAAUCUGUUUGUGUUUGGAGGCACUGAUGGGAUGAACCCUCUUAAGGAUCUGCAUAUAUUAGAUAUUUCAUCACAUACAUGGAUUUCUCCAACAGUGAGAGGAGAGGGACCAGAGGCACGAGAGGGUCAUAGUGCUGCUCUUGUUGGUAAACGUCUCUUUAUAUUUGGUGGCUGCGGAAAAUCUUCAAAUGAUAAUGUUGAAGUGUAUUACAAUGAUCUUUACAUAUUAAAUACAGAGACAUUCGUAUGGAAACAAGCAGCUACAUCUGGCACUCCCCCUUCUGCACGUGAUAGCCAUACCUGCUCAUCUUGGAAGAACAAAAUCAUUGUGAUUGGUGGUGAAGAUGGACAUGAUUAUUAUUUGUCUGAUGUACACAUCCUUGAUGCAGGUUUUGCUUAUUUUUAUUAUGCAUAUAUAUGUACAUACACAACACACUUGCAUGCAAGGGUUUGAUUUCAGGUGUAGUGUCUAAAUUAAUGUAUUUGUUUUAACCGGAAGAGAUGCUUACUAGCAUUUUAUAUGCUUCUAUGCACUGUUUGAUAUUCUUGUGUUUUUUAGAAACUCUUGUAUGGAAAGAGCUCAACACCACAGGCCAGAAGUUGCCACCUCGAGCUGGUCAUUCCACUGUUGCUUUUGGCAAGAAUUUAUUUGUUUUUGGGGGAUUUACAGAUGCUCAAAAUCUGUAUGAUGACCUGUACAUGCUUGAUGUUGACACUGGUGUAUGGACAAAGGUGAUGACUACAGGAAUUGGGCCUUCUGCAAGAUUUUCUGUGGCGGGGGACUGUUUAGAUCCACAGAUGGGUGGUGUAUUGGUGUUCAUAGGUGGUUGCAAUAAAAGUCUUGAGGCACUUGAUGAUAUGUUUUACUUGUAUACAGGAUUUACAAGCGUACAAGAUGAGCAACGGCUAGAAAAAUUAUCCUUAAGGAAGCAAUUGAAGCUAAAGUGCCAAGAACAAUGCCUUAAUUCUCCUGUAAAUGAUAAAGCUUUGGUUAGAAUUGACACAAGUAAUGACUUCCACCACACUCUGCCAACUUAUGCCAGACCAAGUAAGAUAUUACUUGCUGUAUUUUUUUAUUGAUUUAGUGUACAUUAGGCCUGUACUAGGAGGUUGGGUGAAGGGAAUGGGAUGGGUUAAGUGCUUUUACAUAAAUCAAGUGUAAAGUUAGUUAUUGACAGGGCUCUUUAUCUAAUUUUUCUCACAUGCUUGCAUGCCUUUAAAGAUGCAUAGGAAGUUGUAAGACUCAUUUUAUUCUCCCCUCCGUUGCUGUUGUUUUUAUGCAUUUUUUUUUUAGAAAAAAAGGGCGGUUGUUCUUUAAUUGCAAUAAGAAGUAAUGAUUGAAAUCAAAGCCGCCUCUGAAUUUCCAAAUCUCAAUAAUGGUCAACACUUAAUCACUUGUAGUAAUAGACCAGUGAUGGAAAGAAUUAUGUAACAAAAACUUGCAAACAGAUGUUCUUUUUUUUUUUCCUUCACUCAUCUAUGCUGAUGAUAGAUGUAGCGAAAUGCUUUUCGAGUGGGACGCUUAAUGAUCAAACUUCUUUAGUAUGCUAGCUGGAAACCUUUCCAAUUACUUAUACUGUAUAACUGACUUCAGUAAUCUUUUUUAUCUGCUGAAAACUAAGCCAUUGAUAUCUUACUCUGAUGUUACUAGCACUUGGUGGAUAUGGGGUUCACAAGUUUGGUUUUAUCAAUAGAAACUAAGAAUAGUGGUAAUAAUGGCGUGAAAUUUAUAUAUAUGGAAAGGAAUGUGAAUUGGGUUCCGAAAACAUUAGUGCUUUGUUUACAGGCAGAGAGAAUUUGCAAUUGAAUCAAGUGCAACUUAAUCAAGGGAAGAAGACAUUUCAAGCCAAAGUUACCGAAAGCUUCCCCCAUUGUUUUACCGUUGAAACCAUCAUAGAUGGGAAGCCUCUACGCGGAAUAUUGUUUGCCAACAAGUCAAUCACCCCCCAAAUGGCUAAUCAUAAUAAUAUUAGGAAAAGGACUGGUGGGCUAAUUGGCAGUGUUAUGUUGAAUGGCGAUCACAACAACAAAUCAAAAGCAUCUAGAACCCUCAAGCAGGAUGCUGAAGACCACAUGCGACCGGACAAUGCUUGUGGGAAGGAGCCUGCAUCACAUGAAAGCAAGACAGAAACAGUUGUUGCUUCUGAUUCAAAGAACCUAGCAUCUUGUGAUGUUUCUCAGAUCUGCAAGGUCCAUGUGAACCCAGAAUCAUCUGUAGCUUCUCUGAAUUUAAAUGAUGAUAUGAUAAAUGAUGCACCAAAUUCUGGUGCUAAAUUUCCAAACAUAGCCAUGGGAUCACUUUGUCACUAAAUCAAGGUAUGAGUCGAGGUUCUGGAAGCAUUUUAUUCUAGAGAACAUCAAGGGUGGCAAAAUCCAACCAAGCUCUAUUUAAAGGUCCCAAUCAAUGUUUGAUAAUGUUGGGCUAGGUUAGGUCAGAAGGUUAGAAACCAUUUAUAAAUGGGUUUGUUUGGAUUGUGUGGGGGAUGGGACCUAUCAUAUGAUCUAGCCAAUAAUCCUAACAUUAAAAGGAAGGAUAAAAAUGCAAAGGGAAACAUGAAGCUUCAUAGGAAGCUUUCUUUGAGUUAGUGAAGUAUAAUUGGGCUAUGUUUUGGUGGUGACAGCAUGGUGGUUAGAUGAAAAGAAAGUGGUGGUUUGUUAAGUGAAGGUGGUGGAUUUGUGGUGGAUUUGGUGAGGCUUAUGCAAGUCUUGAGAAAGAGCGGUAGUGAGGGCUUAGGGAAAAUCAAGAAAAGGGGAACAGUAGCUAGGAAGAAAAGUUCUGAGAAGAAAAGAAAAAGAAUUCAAAUGUAUUCUCUGGGUAAUUUCCACAAGCACACAGAUCAAAAGCUCAUAUGCCAAAUUGAUGUAGAACCAAUAGAACAAUCAAAGAGGAAAAAGGAAUAAACUUCAUUCUAUUAAUUCUCAAUUGUCAAUAUCAAUAAUAAUAAGCUCUACUAAAAUACCCAGAUGACAUAGAUGUAUAAUAACUAGUAUUACUAGUACUAGAAUUAGGAACCCAAAAAUAAGAAACACUAACCAAUACUAAUUAGAAAUACUCAAUCAACUCAAGCUUUCUAAAUAAAUAUAAUACUACUACUAAAUUAAAUUUCCUGAAUUUCUUCCUAAAAUAGAUAGACCUAAAAUCCAUAGUAAAAGGUCUUGCAUGUGCAUGAUAAUGCUAAUUUUAGAGGAUAAUUAUGUUAGGAUUUUAUUACGUUGUUAGUGAAUGGCAUUGAAAGACAUCUUUAAUUUGAUAUUAUUUGGUCUUACUAGUUUCACAUGUCUUCUAAAUUAAAGAAGAAUGAGUCUGUCAUUUCUGUUUUAGGUUCCAG